AACGAACGCUGGCGGCAUGCCUAACACAUGCAAGUCGAACGAGACCUUCGGGUCUAGUGGCGCACGGGUGCGUAACGCGUGGGAACCUGCCCUUAGGUUCGGAAUAACUCCCCGAAAGGGGUGCUAAUACCGGAUAAUGUCUUCGGACCAAAGAUUUAUCGCCUUUGGAUGGGCCCGCGUUGGAUUAGCUAGUUGGUAGGGUAAAAGCCUACCAAGGCGACGAUCCAUAGCUGGUCUGAGAGGAUGAUCAGCCACACUGGGACUGAGACACGGCCCAGACUCCUACGGGAGGCAGCAGUGGGGAAUAUUGGACAAUGGGCGAAAGCCUGAUCCAGCAAUGCCGCGUGAGUGAUGAAGGCCUUAGGGUUGUAAAGCUAUUUUACCCGGGAUGAUAAUGACAGUACCGGGAGAAUAAGCGCCGGCUAAAUCCGUG
This 433-nucleotide ribosomal RNA is filed under the name uncultured bacterium. RNAcentral's name for it is "partial 16S ribosomal RNA". It matches the Rfam family "Bacterial small subunit ribosomal RNA", at positions 29 to 507 of the family's 1533-position model. The record is from RNAcentral.